GUGUAAUCGAUGAUAUGGACUUGCGUGAACAAUCAUCAACAAGCAAAAGGCUUCGUGCUCCAACCCCAAAUCAUACAACAACUGAAAAAGAAGAUUAUGAGCCUUGGGAGCACUACACAUAAAUGCAGUUGAAAACGCCU
Rhagoletis zephyria (snowberry fruit fly) is the source of this 140-nucleotide long non-coding RNA. RefSeq lists it as uncharacterized. The record is from RefSeq and is a predicted model, not a curated record. Lineage: Eukaryota; Metazoa; Arthropoda; Insecta; Diptera; Tephritidae.